This 792-nucleotide long non-coding RNA is filed under the name Chrysolophus pictus (golden pheasant). Its description in RNAcentral is "lncRNA (ENSCPIG00010000906.1)". Lineage: Eukaryota; Metazoa; Chordata; Aves; Galliformes; Phasianidae. The record is from RNAcentral.
UGGGAGGGGCUUAAGGAGGAGCUGGAGCUGGGAUGGUGCCGUGGGUGGGGUGUAUACGGGUGUGCCUCAUUUGCAUAUGAUUUGCAUAUGAGUUUCCAGGUACUUAUAGUUUGUGAAUUCAUUAUUAGCUAUUCAUUUGCAUACUCAUUUACAUAUUGAUUUCUCAUUAAUUUCCUGCAGAACAAGGGCUCCCUCCAAGUCCCCCCGCCCCCGCUCCACAGGCCCCGCCCCCCCCACCAGGGAGGGGGGCGUGGCCUCGCUAAGCCCCACCCCUUUCUCCACCCACAGGAGCGCUACAAGCCCCGCCCCCACUCUGCCCCUCACACCCUAUUGGUCGCUCUGCUCAGGAGCGAUCAGCCCCUCCUGGAGGCGGAGCUUCUGAGCGUGGCUCCGCCCCUCUGCGCCCGCCCCAUUAUACUCGCUGACCGACCGUGGCCGCCUCCUGGCUCAGCAAUUGGCUGAGAGCACCGAAGCCCCGCCCCUUCCGGUGCACCCCACCCUCUCAGACCCCGCCCACACGGCGAUGGCUGCCGAUAGCUCCGCCCCUUCCGGUGACCACGCCCCUGUAAGCUCCGCCUCUUCUGAAGACUCCGCCCCCUCUUUGGACAGCGCUCCGUCCCCAGAGGCUGCCAUCGAGGAACGGGUGGAGCUGCGCCCGGGGCACUUCGAGGUGCUGCUGUGCGCUGAUGUCACCGAGGGCACCGGCCCGGGCCGUUCCCGCGGGGCGCUUCCCCCCCUGCAGGCUGUGGGGCAGCGGGAGGAGCCGCGCCCGCUGGCGGCGGGGGGCUUUCC